UACAGAGGGUGCGAGCGUUGUCCGGAAUCACUGGGCGUAAAGGGCGCGUAGGCGGCCUGGUAAGUCGGGGGUGAAAUCUCGAGGCUCAACUUCGAGGCUGCCUCCUAAACUGUCAGGCUUGAGCAGAGUAGAGGCAGGUGGAAUUCCCGGUGUAGCGGUGGAAUGCGUAGAGAUCGGGAAGAACAUCGGUGGCGAAGGCGGCCUGCUGGGCUGUUGCUGACACUGAUGCGCGACAGCGUGGGGAGCAAACAGG
This 253-nucleotide ribosomal RNA is filed under the name uncultured bacterium. Its description in RNAcentral is "partial 16S ribosomal RNA". It matches the Rfam family "Bacterial small subunit ribosomal RNA", at positions 524 to 776 of the family's 1533-position model. The record is from RNAcentral.